CGUGAUUGAUAGUCUGCUUGCACAUUUUGGGUAGUGCCACGAAACGUCUUAAAGAGAGCGACCUGGUCGUGACUCAGCCAGUAAGUAUUAUUUCGUGUCAUUUAGAAUUGUUGCAAGCUACGGUAACAACAUAGGCAAAGACAAUGAAUGUUAGAACUAACUGGAUGAAAAAUGCAGUGUGUGGAAGGGAUGCAACAUAGACCAAUAGAGGAUACACCAAGGGAAAUCUGAAUUCAUAUAACAAAGGUUCUUGGAACAAGUCCACAAACUCAAGGAAGUUUUGGACUCAUUGCAAGACACCACGACGGGCUAUUGAAAACUGUUAAGAAUUCAUGGAUUUCUUCCCAACUUUCAGUUUACCAAGAAUCAACAAGUUACCUCUGCCAUUUAUGGACAUGAGCAUGACCAACAAAAGGAGGAUGACACUACCAAUGAACUAACUAAGGAGAAAUAUCAGAGUCUCAUCAAUAUACUGCAACAAAAGAAUAGCCAAAAGAAAGAUUCAUCCAAUGCUAAAAAUGUGAUCAACACUCUAUCUACAACUUCCUUAUCCAAGGAUCAGCAUGAGGAAGGUAAUUCUAUAUCUCAAUGGAUAUUGGAUAGUGAUG
RNAcentral lists this long non-coding RNA (608 nucleotides) under Lupinus angustifolius (narrow-leaved blue lupine). RNAcentral's name for it is "long non-coding RNA (LANG_LNC002794)". Lineage: Eukaryota; Viridiplantae; Streptophyta; Magnoliopsida; Fabales; Fabaceae. The record is from RNAcentral.